RNAcentral lists this long non-coding RNA (2061 nucleotides) under Piliocolobus tephrosceles (Ugandan red Colobus). RNAcentral's name for it is "lncRNA (ENSPTEG00000009869.1)". The record is from RNAcentral. Lineage: Eukaryota; Metazoa; Chordata; Mammalia; Primates; Cercopithecidae.
CAUUUUUAAUAUGUUAAACAGUUAUAAUAUUUUCAAUCAUGUGGUGUAUAAACAUUUUCGCUAUUUUUUUGUGUUUUAUUUUAUUUAUUUUUUUUUUUUUCGCCAGAUAAAAAAAUAUUAUGGUAUACUUUUGAAAAAAAAACAAAAAAAAAAUUAAAAUAAACUAAAAGUGUGUGAACAUAUUACUAUACCAUUAAAAGUUUUUUAAACCAUAACAAUUAAAUGAUGUUAAAUGAUUAGUGUUAUAUUUAUUUUAUUUUACUCAUUUUUUAUAUUAUGUUGUGCUAUACGAUUAUACACGGGAUAAAAUUUAUUAUGUUAUUACGUUUUCGAUGAUGAAUUAGUAUAUAAUAAUGACUUUUCAAAACAUUGAAUAUGCAUGUAUAUAUAUUAUCUACUUGUUAAAUACGUUUACGUGAACUUAAUAGAUAUAUACAUCGUUCAACAGAAGAAUCAUUAUUUUUUUUUUUCUAUUUGUCCGUUUUUGUAACAUUUUUGUAAUAGUUGUAAUAUAUUUUAUUAGUUACGUACUAUUAUUAUAGAACUUAUUCGAAUGUGAGUUGCACAAAAAUUUUUGGCAUGCUUUUUAUGAUGAUGUCACGGUUCAACGUAAAAAUAACAUGUUAAGUUUUAAAAUAAAAUUGACCCUUUUUUUUUUUUUUUUGUUUUCUUCUAUUGUUUCUAUCAUAAAUACUGAUAACUAUGUAAAUAAUAAUGACAAAAAACUGAGAAAUAUUUUUACUCGAGUAGCUUAUGCAAAUAUUUUUCACAAAUAUGUCAAAAAAAAGGUUAUUCAGUUUGAUUAUCCAUUGGGUUACUCAUUAAACUAUCCGAUUAGUUGUCCAUUUAGUGAAAAAGUAAAAAAGACUACAUUUGAUUGCGUAAAAACAAACGGUUUAAAAAAUAGUAACAAAUUGUUUUACUUAUGGAGUAAUAAUAUACCUAAAAUAUAUACAAAUACAAAAAUAGGAAAUCAAAAGAUAUAUACUGAAGAAACGUAUUAUAUAAUAGAAAAAUUGCAGAGAAUGAGUAAAAACAUAAACUAUUUCGAUUUAUCACAAAUCAAUACAUAUUGUUCGUUUUAUAAAUUAUAUGUAAAUGACUUAUUACAUAAUAAUGAUGAAAAAAAAGUCGAUCAUACAAAUGCAACUACUACUACAUUUAAUAGUGGCACUACAAUGAAUCAUACCGAUUUGAAAAAUAUACACAAACGAUAUUUCAUAAAAACUGAUCAUUUAAAUAGUGAUCCAAUGGAAGAAAAUACAUAUAUUUUUAUUAUAGGAGAAAAAAAGGAAAAGUUAAAAACAGAUUCACCAUUAUUUGAUCAAAUUUUUAAAUCUUACAGUAAUGUUUUAUAUUCUUAUUAUAUUAUAUUUAUGAAUAAAAUACUAGAUCAUACGUUUGUUUUUUUCCGUAAAGAACAGAGAACAAAUAGUAAUAAAUUUGAUAAUGACAUUAGCACAAACAUUAACAAUAGUAAUAACAUACCCAAUUACAAUAACAAUAUUUUUCAUAACAAUUAUAUAAAUAAUAAUUACAUAAUUUAUAAGAAUGAGGUUAUUUAUCCAUUCAAAUUGAAUGAUAUGGAUAGUGUCAGCCGUUAUAAUAAUACUAAUAAUGUUAGCAGUACAAAUGGCAAUACAAAUGGCAAUACAAAUGGCAAUACAAAUGGCANNNNNNNNNNUACAAAUGGCAAUACAAAUGGCAAUACAAAUGGCAAUACAAAUGGCAGUACAAAUGGUAGCACAAAUAAUUAUGAUACAACUUAUAAUUAUUCAUCCGAGUUUUAUAUAAUUGAAAUUUGUCAUUGUUUUAAUGGUAUAACAUACAAACAACAUAUAUACAGUUUGAUCAAAAAAUUAUCCAACCUUUAUUUUAAUAUAGAAUUAGUUCCUUAUAUUUUCCAUUUACCUCCAGUUUUUUUCCAUAUAGUGAUUAUUCUAAUAUCUUCAAUAUGUUUUUCUUACAUUUUUUAUAAACUUUUUUGUAAAUAUAAAAACUGUUUUUAAGUUAGAAACAAGCCGCAGUAUCAACAAAUAUAUGAUGUGGUACUUUCAAAGU